GGAUAUAGCUCAGUGGUAGAGUGUGUGCUUAGCAUGCACGAGGUCUUGGGUUCAAUUCCCAGCACCUCCA
Molecule: transfer RNA, 70 nt
Filed under: Camelus bactrianus (Bactrian camel)
Lineage: Eukaryota; Metazoa; Chordata; Mammalia; Artiodactyla; Camelidae
Also listed under: 2 other names
Rfam family: tRNA
About the family: Transfer RNA (tRNA) molecules are approximately 80 nucleotides in length. Their secondary structure includes four short double-helical elements and three loops (D, anti-codon, and T loops).
Source: Rfam by way of RNAcentral